GAUUGAACGCUGGCGGCAGGCCUAACACAUGCAAGUCGAGCGGUAGAGAGGUGCUUGCAUCUCUUGAGAGCGGCGGACGGGUGAGUAAUAUAUCGGAACGUGCCCAGUCGUGGGGGAUAACGCAGCGAAAGCUGUGCUAAUACCGCAUACGAUCUAUGGAUGAAAGCGGGGGAUCGCAAGACCUCGCGCGAUUGGAGCGGCCGAUAUCAGAUUAGCUAGUUGGUAGGGGUAAAAGCCUACCAAGGCGACGAUCUGUAGCUGGUCUGAGAGGACGACCAGCCACACUGGAACUGAGACACGGUCCAGACUCCGUACGGGAGCAG
RNAcentral lists this ribosomal RNA (323 nucleotides) under uncultured soil bacterium. RNAcentral's name for it is "bacterial SSU rRNA". It matches the Rfam family "Bacterial small subunit ribosomal RNA", at positions 27 to 351 of the family's 1533-position model. The record is from RNAcentral.